Molecule: ribosomal RNA, 253 nt
Filed under: uncultured bacterium
Lineage: Bacteria
Description: partial 16S ribosomal RNA
Rfam family: Bacterial small subunit ribosomal RNA
Source: RNAcentral
UACGUAGGGGGCAAGCGUUGUCCGGAAUCAUUGGGCGUAAAGAGCGUGUAGGCGGCUCGAUAAGUCCGCUGUGAAAGUCCAGGGCUCAACCCUGGAAGGCCGGUGGAAACUGUCGGGCUAGAGUCCGGAAGAGGCGAGUGGAAUUCCCGGUGUAGCGGUGAAAUGCGCAGAUAUCGGGAGGAACACCAAUGGCGAAGGCAGCUCGCUGGGACGGUACUGACGCUGAGUCGCGAAAGCGUGGGGAGCAAACAGG